This 253-nucleotide ribosomal RNA is filed under the name uncultured bacterium. RNAcentral describes it as "partial 16S ribosomal RNA". It matches the Rfam family "Bacterial small subunit ribosomal RNA", at positions 524 to 776 of the family's 1533-position model. The record is from RNAcentral.
UACGUAGGGUGCAAGCGUUGUCCGGAAUUAUUGGGCGUAAAGAGCUAGUAGGCGGUCUGUCGCGUCUGCUGUGAAAACUCAGGGCUUAACCCUGAGCUUGCAGUGGGUACGGGCAGACUAGAGUGCGGUAGGGGAGACUGGAAUUCCUGGUGUAGCGGUGAAAUGCGCAGAUAUCAGGAGGAACACCGGUGGCGAAGGCGGGUCUCUGGGCCGUAACUGACGCUGAGGAGCGAAAGCAUGGGGAGCGAACAGG